AACGAACGCUGGCGGCAUGCCUAACACAUGCAAGUCGAACGAGACCUUCGGGUCUAGUGGCGCACGGGUGCGUAACGCGUGGGAACCUGCCCUUAGGUUCGGAAUAACUCCCCGAAAGGGGUGCUAAUACCGGAUAAUGUCUUCGGACCAAAGAUUUAUCGCCUUUGGAUGGGCCCGCGUUGGAUUAGCUAGUUGGCAGGGUAAAAGCCUACCAAGGCGACGAUCCAUAGCUGGUCUGAGAGGAUGAUCAGCCACACUGGGACUGAGACACGGCCCAGACUCCUACGGGAGGCAGCAGUGGGGAAUAUUGGACAAUGGGCGAAAGCCUGAUCCAGCAAUGCCGCGUGAGUGAUGAAGGCCUUAGGGUUGUAAAGCUCUUUUACCCGGGAUGAUAAUGACAGUACCGGGAGAAUAAGCGCCGGCUAACUCCGUG
RNAcentral lists this ribosomal RNA (433 nucleotides) under uncultured bacterium. RNAcentral's name for it is "partial 16S ribosomal RNA". It matches the Rfam family "Bacterial small subunit ribosomal RNA", at positions 29 to 507 of the family's 1533-position model. The record is from RNAcentral.